CCUACGGGCGGCAGCAGUGAGGAAUAUUGGUCAAUGGACGAGAGUCUGAACCAGCCAAGUAGCGUGAAGGAUGACUGCCCUAUGGGUUGUAAACUUCUUUUAUAUGGGAAUAAAAUGUUCCACGUGUGGGAUUUUGUAUGUACUAUAUGAAUAAGGAUCGGCUAACUCCGUGCCAGCAGCCGCGGUAAUACGGAGGAUCCGAGCGUUAUCCGGAUUUAUUGGGUUUAAAGGGAGCGUAGGUGGAUUGUUAAGUCAGUUGUGAAAGUUUGCGGCUCAACCGGAAAAUUGCAAUUGAAACUGGCAGUCUUGAGUACAGUAGAGGUGGGCGGAAUUCGUGGUGUAGCGGUGAAAUGCUUAGAUAUCACGAAGAACUCCGAUUGCGAAGGCAGUUCACUGGACUGCAACUGACACUGAGGCUCGAAAGUGUGGGUAUCAAACAGGAUUAGAUACCCUAGUAGUC
RNAcentral lists this ribosomal RNA (460 nucleotides) under uncultured bacterium. Its description in RNAcentral is "partial 16S ribosomal RNA". It matches the Rfam family "Bacterial small subunit ribosomal RNA", at positions 338 to 795 of the family's 1533-position model. The record is from RNAcentral.